Molecule: non-coding RNA, 235 nt
Organism: Pelobates cultripes (western spadefoot toad)
Lineage: Eukaryota; Metazoa; Chordata; Amphibia; Anura; Pelobatidae
Source: the annotation of a GenBank genome assembly
CAUCUCCAAACGGCAAGUCUUGUGGGGUGUUCCCGGUACGCAGCGGUUAGUAAAUACCAAAAGUGGUUCAAGGAAGGACAACUGGCAUCAAGGUCAUGGGCGCCAAAGGCUCAUUGAUGCAUGUGGAGGGAAGGUUAGUUCGUCUGGUCCGAUCACAAAGAAGGGAUACUGUAGCUCAGAUUGCUAAAAACGUAAUACUGGCCAUGAUAGAAAAGGUGUCAGAACACACAGUGCA